AGAAUCAACGCUGGCGGCAUGCCUAACACAUGCAAGUCGAACGAGAAAGUCCUUCGGGAUGAGUACAGUGGCGUACGGGUGAGUAACGCGUGGGUUAUCUGCCUCUGGGUGGGGAAUAACUCGGGGAAACUCGAGCUAAUACCGCAUAACACGGCAACGUUAAAGCAGCAAUGCGCCUGGAGAUGAGCCUGCGUCCGAUUAGCUAGUUGGCGGGGUAAUGGCCCACCAAGGCGACGAUCGGUAGCCGGCCUGAGAGGGCGGUCGGCCACACUGGCACUGAAAUACGGGCCAGACUCCUACGGGAGGCAGCAGUGAGGAAUUUUGGGCAAUGGGCGAAAGCCUGACCCAGCAAUGCCGCGUGAACGAUGAAGUCCUUCGGGAUGUAAAGUUCGUAAGCAGGAGAAGAACACAAUGACGGUAUCCUGUGUAAGCC
Molecule: ribosomal RNA, 433 nt
Filed under: uncultured Chloracidobacterium sp.
Lineage: Bacteria; Pseudomonadati; Acidobacteriota; Blastocatellia; Chloracidobacteriales; Chloracidobacteriaceae
Description: bacterial SSU rRNA
Rfam family: Bacterial small subunit ribosomal RNA
Source: RNAcentral